RNAcentral lists this transfer RNA (62 nucleotides) under Scolytinae sp. BMNH 1274712. RNAcentral's name for it is "tRNA-Gly". The record is from RNAcentral. Lineage: Eukaryota; Metazoa; Arthropoda; Insecta; Coleoptera; Curculionidae.
AUUUAUAUAGUAUAAUCAUUAUUCUUAACUUCCAAUUAAGAGAUCUAAUAAUAGUAUAAAUA